UACGGAGGGAGCUAGCGUUGUUCGGAAUUACUGGGCGUAAAGCGCGCGUAGGCGGCUUUGUAAGUUAGAGGUGAAAGCCCGGGGCUCAACCCCGGAAUUGCCUUUAAGACUGCAUCGCUUGAAUCCGGGAGAGGUGAGUGGAAUUCCGAGUGUAGAGGUGAAAUUCGUAGAUAUUCGGAAGAACACCGGUGGCGAAGGCGGAUCUCUGGGCCGUAACUGACGCUGAGGAGCGAAAGCAUGGGGAGCGAACAGG
This 253-nucleotide ribosomal RNA is filed under the name uncultured bacterium. RNAcentral describes it as "partial 16S ribosomal RNA". It matches the Rfam family "Bacterial small subunit ribosomal RNA", at positions 524 to 776 of the family's 1533-position model. The record is from RNAcentral.